AUGGCUUGCUUCCUCGUACGCUUCCACCUGUUGACCGCCUUGGUCUUCCAAGCAUUGGCGUUGGUGUUCUUGAUACGACUUCUUAUCGUGAUGUUAUUCAUACCAAAUGACACCUUGCGAUGGCAGAGGAGAUUGUUGCUCUUGAGCGCAUCAGCAUGUGGGAUAUUGUUUCUCUUCCUCCUCGUGUUCGUCCCAUCACUUGGUGGGAAUGUUAUGACUCACUUUGAGUUUUUAUACGUUCCUUUUGAUCAUGUUCCUGGACUUUACUACACUCGUGGUCCGCGUGUUGUGGAUUCUUCUGAUAAGCCAUCUCCCUCGACUAUUAUAUCUUCUUUCGUUUGGCAACGCACCGCCUCCAGCUUAUAG
This 366-nucleotide ribosomal RNA is filed under the name Triticum aestivum (bread wheat). RNAcentral describes it as "partial small subunit ribosomal RNA". Lineage: Eukaryota; Viridiplantae; Streptophyta; Magnoliopsida; Poales; Poaceae. The record is from RNAcentral.